UACGUAGGUGGCAAGCGUUAUCCGGAUUUACUGGGUGUAAAGGGCGUGUAGGCGGGAAAGCAAGUCAGAUGUGAAAACCAUGGGCUCAACCUGUGGCCUGCAUUUGAAACUGUUUUUCUUGAGUACUGGAGAGGCAGACGGAAUUCCUAGUGUAGCGGUGAAAUGCGUAGAUAUUAGGAGGAACACCAGUGGCGAAGGCGGCUUACUGGACUGUAACUGACGUUGAGGCUCGAAGGCGUGGGGAGCAAACGGG
This 253-nucleotide ribosomal RNA is filed under the name uncultured bacterium. RNAcentral describes it as "partial 16S ribosomal RNA". It matches the Rfam family "Bacterial small subunit ribosomal RNA", at positions 524 to 776 of the family's 1533-position model. The record is from RNAcentral.